This 373-nucleotide ribosomal RNA is filed under the name uncultured bacterium. RNAcentral describes it as "bacterial SSU rRNA". It matches the Rfam family "Bacterial small subunit ribosomal RNA", at positions 524 to 898 of the family's 1533-position model. The record is from RNAcentral.
UACGUAGGGGGCGAGCGUUAUCCGGAAUUAUUGGGCGUAAAGAGUGCGUAGGUGGUCUUGUAAGCGUGGGGUGAAAGGCAGUGGCUUAACCAUUGUUAGCCUUGCGAACUGUGAGACUUGAGUGCAGGAGAGGAAAGUGGAAUUCCUAGUGUAGCGGUGAAAUGCGUAGAUAUUAGGAGGAACACCAGUGGCGAAGGCGACUUUCUGGACUGUAACUGACACUGAGGCACGAAAGCGUGGGGAGCAAACAGGAUUAGAUACCCUGGUAGUCCACGCCGUAAACGAUGAACACUAGGUGUCGGGGUUUAAAGACUUCGGUGCCGCAGUUAACGCAUUAAGUGUUCCGCCUGGGGAGUACGCACGCAAGUGUGAA